GACGAACGCUGGCGGCGUGCUUAACACAUGCAAGUCGAACGGAAAGGCCCUGCUUUUGUGGGGUGCUCGAGUGGCGAACGGGUGAGUAACACGUGAGUAACCUGCCCUUGAAUUUGGGAUAACUUCAGGAAACUGGGGCUAAUACCGGAUAGGAGCUCCUGCUGCAUGGUGGGGGUUGGAAAGUUUCGGCGGUUGGGGAUGGACUCGCGGCUUAUCAGCUUGUUGGUGGGGUAGUGGCUUACCAAGGCUUUGACGGGUAGCCGGCCUGAGAGGGUGACCGGCCACAUUGGGACUGAGGUACGGCCCAGACUCCUACGGGAGGCAGCAGUGGGGAAUAUUGCACAAUGGGCGGAAGCCUGAUGCAGCAACGCCGCGUGCGGGAUGACGGCCUUCGGGUUGUAAACCGCUUUCGCCUGUGACGAAGCGUGAGUGACGGUAAUGGGUAAAGAAGCACCGGCUAACUACGUG
Molecule: ribosomal RNA, 468 nt
Filed under: uncultured bacterium
Lineage: Bacteria
Description: partial 16S ribosomal RNA
Rfam family: Bacterial small subunit ribosomal RNA
Source: RNAcentral